AGCGGCGGACGGGUGAGUAAUGUCUGGGAAACUGCCUGAUGGAGGGGGAUAACUACUGGAAACGGUAGCUAAUACCGCAUAACGUCGCAAGACCAAAGAGGGGGACCUUCGGGCCUCUUGCCAUCAGAUGUGCCCAGAUGGGAUUAGCUAGUAGGUGGGGUAAUGGCUCACCUAGGCGACGAUCCCUAGCUGGUCUGAGAGGAUGACCAGCCACACUGGAACUGAGACACGGUCCAGACUCCUACGGGAGGCAGCAGUGGGGAAUAUUGCACAAUGGGCGCAAGCCUGAUGCAGCCAUGCCGCGUGUGUGAAGAAGGCCUUCGGGUUGUAAAGCACUUUCAGCGAGGAGGAAGGUGGUGAGCUUAAUACGCUCAUCAAUUGACGUUACUCGCAGAAGAAGCACCGGCUAACUCCGUGCCAGCAGCCGCGGUAAUACGGAGGGUGCAAGCGUUAAUCGGAAUUACUGGGCGUAAAGCGCACGCAGGCGGUUUGUUAAGUCAGAUGUGAAAUCCCCGGGCUCAACCUGGGAACUGCAUUUGAAACUGGC
Molecule: ribosomal RNA, 547 nt
Filed under: Serratia sp. (in: enterobacteria)
Lineage: Bacteria; Pseudomonadati; Pseudomonadota; Gammaproteobacteria; Enterobacterales; Yersiniaceae
Description: bacterial SSU rRNA
Rfam family: Bacterial small subunit ribosomal RNA
Source: RNAcentral